Molecule: long non-coding RNA, 758 nt
Filed under: Marmota monax (woodchuck)
Lineage: Eukaryota; Metazoa; Chordata; Mammalia; Rodentia; Sciuridae
Source: RNAcentral
UUUUUUUUUUAAACAAACCAGCUCCUUAAACUUGGAGAUAAUGAUAAUUCCUUCUAACCAUAAAGUCUGUAAGAUUUUAUGUUUAAGAGUCCAAUUAGAACCAGUCAGCAGAUAAAGCUUAAAUUCUGUGGUUACUUAGAGGAAAUAAGGAAGGGGCAUAACAUGGGCAUUAUAUUUUCAGGAUUCUUUUCCUCUUAGACUUAAGAAUAGUGGAGGAAAAAACUAAGUGAAAGAGAUGAGACUCCACGGAAAUGUGUGUAUAUGUUAAGGUGGCUAAAACAACAUUACAGAAGGAAGAGUUUUACAAGAAGGAAAACAUCUUUGGCUUCAGACCUUAUCUGUGCUGAUGAGAGUAAUUCACUUCUGUUAAUGAUUACCACAAGACAUAUGAAAACAUAAUCAAAGUAACGCAGGAGGGACCAGCACAAUUUUCAGUGUAUGUUAUGGUGAGCCAAGAAGAUAGUUCAAAAUAGAAGGUGACCUCAAAAUAAUCAGGAGUAUGAUGUCAUUUGGGGCAAUUGUCUACUAGGUCUUUGUCAUGAGAAGAGUUUCAGUAGAGUGAGCAUGGAAUUUACCUACAACAGGGAGCAAUGGAAUCGCUUUGUUUAAAAGCAUACAAACACCCUGAUCUUGGGGAGGGGGUGCAGGAUUACCCUUCUUCCCUAUCUAGGCUGAGUAAUCUUGUCCUGAGGACACCCACCACAUGAAGUAGAAAUCUCCAAAAUUAAUAAGUGAAUUUUGACCCCUGUUAGACACAA